This 49-nucleotide small nucleolar RNA is filed under the name Pyrobaculum oguniense TE7. RNAcentral's name for it is "POGsR12". The record is from RNAcentral. Lineage: Archaea; Thermoproteati; Thermoproteota; Thermoprotei; Thermoproteales; Thermoproteaceae.
GUGAUGACCCUUUCCCUCCCGAAGGCGUGAAGAGGCGUCGCGUUGCUGA